This is a long non-coding RNA of Hibiscus syriacus, 150 nucleotides long. RefSeq lists it as uncharacterized. NCBI's taxonomy places the organism in Eukaryota, Viridiplantae, Streptophyta, Magnoliopsida, Malvales, Malvaceae. The transcript has 3 exons. The record is from RefSeq and is a predicted model, not a curated record.
UGCAGGAAUGCUAUCUAACCAGUCUAAGGAAGUCCUUAUGCUGAGCGUCCUCUGAAUCAAUAGCUCGAUCUAAAAUGCUGUUGGAUGUUGCACUGGUACAAACAAUGCAGAUACAACUUAUGUCAGUUAAAAUAUUUACUAAAGUGUCUU